UGGCGGCAGUAGCGCGGUGGUCCCACCUGACCCCAUGCCGAACUCAGAAGUGAAACGCCGUAGCGCCGAUGGUAGUGUGGGGUUUCCCCAUGCGAGAGUAGGGAACUGCCAGACA
This 115-nucleotide ribosomal RNA is filed under the name Escherichia coli. The record is from RNAcentral. RNAcentral also lists the same sequence under 7 other names. Lineage: Bacteria; Pseudomonadati; Pseudomonadota; Gammaproteobacteria; Enterobacterales; Enterobacteriaceae.